CCUACGGGAGGCAGCAGUAGGGAAUCUUCGGCAAUGGGGGGAACCCUGACCGAGCAACGCCGCGUGAGUGAAGAAGGUUUUCGGAUCGUAAAGCUCUGUUGUAAGAGAAGAACGGGUGUGAGAGUGGAAAGUUCACACUGUGACGGUAUCUUACCAGAAAGGGACGGCUAACUACGUGCCAGCAGCCGCGGUAAUACGUAGGUCCCGAGCGUUGUCCGGAUUUAUUGGGCGUAAAGCGAGCGCAGGCGGUUUGAUAAGUCUGAAGUUAAAGGCUGGGGCUUAACCAUAGUUCGCUUUGGAAACUGUCAAACUUGAGUGCAGGAGGGGAGAGUGGAAUUCCAUGUGUAGCGGUGAAAUGCGUAGAUAUAUGGAGGAACACCGGUGGCGAAAGCGGCUCUCUGGUCUGUAACUGACGCUGAGGCUCGAAAGCGUGGGGAGCGAACAGGAUUAGAUACCCCGGUAGUC
Molecule: ribosomal RNA, 465 nt
Filed under: uncultured Streptococcus sp.
Lineage: Bacteria; Bacillati; Bacillota; Bacilli; Lactobacillales; Streptococcaceae
Description: bacterial SSU rRNA
Rfam family: Bacterial small subunit ribosomal RNA
Source: RNAcentral